Long non-coding RNA from Brienomyrus brachyistius, 429 nucleotides. RefSeq lists it as uncharacterized. NCBI's taxonomy places the organism in Eukaryota, Metazoa, Chordata, Actinopteri, Osteoglossiformes, Mormyridae. The transcript is spliced from 2 exons. The record is from RefSeq and is a predicted model, not a curated record.
AUAUCAUCAGUGCUGCUAGAACAAUGUUUCUCAACCUGGUCCUCAGGGACCUCCAGACGGUCCACGAUUUAGCUCCUUCCAGGCUCCGUGACAGACAGUCAUGAUACAUCUAAACCAUUCCGAUGUCAAGAGCGAAAAUAGAGACAAAACUAUAUGAACAAACAUCUCACUCAGGAUGUUCCAAAUUGAGAUCUAUCUGAGGAAGAACAUUUAGAACCAUGUGGAGAAGGUCUCUCAAGACCCUAGGAAUCAUCAGCUCCCUCCAGGCCCACCAUCCGGAAGAGGAGGGAAGGGCGUGUUGAUGGAGCAUUGCAAGACGGAAUCUGAUUGGAGGAGACUUGAUAAAGAAGGAAUGUAUAGAGGAAGACGACAAUGGUGUUUAAAUAGGAGCACGAGGUCUUCUUAAAUUAAAUUUUAAACACAAAGAAA